AGAGUUUGAUCCUGGCUCAGGAUGAACGCUGGCGGCGUGCCUAAUACAUGCAAGUCGAGCGAACGGACGAGAAGCUUGCUUCUCUGAUGUUAGCGGCGGACGGGUGAGUAACACGUGGAUAACCUACCUAUAAGACUGGGAUAACUUCGGGAAACCGGAGCUAAUACCGGAUAAUAUUUUGAACCGCAUGGUUCAAAAGUGAAAGACGGUCUUGCUGUCACUUAUAGAUGGAUCCGCGCUGCAUUAGCUAGUUGGUAAGGUAACGGCUUACCAAGGCAACGAUGCAUAGCCGACCUGAGAGGGUGAUCGGCCACACUGGAACUGAGACACGGUCCAGACUCCUACGGGAGGCAGCAGUAGGGAAUCUUCCGCAAUGGGCGAAAGCCUGACGGAGCAACGCCGCGUGAGUGAUGAAGGUCUUCGGAUCGUAAAACUCUGUUAUUAGGGAAGAACAUAUGUGUAAGUAACUGUGCACAUCUUGACGGUACCUAAUCAGAAAGCCACGGCUAACUACGUGCCAGCAGCCGCGGUAAUACGUAGGUGGCAAGCGUUAUCCGGAAUUAUUGGGCGUAAAGCGCGCGUAGGCGGUUUUUUAAGUCUGAUGUGAAAGCCCACGGCUCAACCGUGGAGGGUCAUUGGAAACUGGAAAACUUGAGUGCAGAAGAGGAAAGUGGAAUUCCAUGUGUAGCGGUGAAAUGCGCAGAGAUAUGGAGGAACACCAGUGGCGAAGGCGACUUUCUGGUCUGUAACUGACGCUGAUGUGCGAAAGCGUGGGGAUCAAACAGGAUUAGAUACCCUGGUAGUCCACGCCGUAAACGAUGAGUGCUAAGUGUUAGGGGGUUUCCGCCCCUUAGUGCUGCAGCUAACGCAUUAAGCACUCCGCCUGGGGAGUACGACCGCAAGGUUGAAAAGAGAUAGAGCCUUCCCCUUCGGGGGACAAAGUGACAGGUGGUGCAUGGUUGUCGUCAGCUCGUGUCGUGAGAUGUUGGGUUAAGUCCCGCAACGAGCGCAACCCUUAAGCUUAGUUGCCAUCAUUAAGUUGGGCACUCUAAGUUGACUGCCGGUGACAAACCGGAGGAAGGUGGGGAUGACGUCAAAUCAUCAUGCCCCUUAUGAUUUGGGCUACACACGUGCUACAAUGGACAAUACAAAGGGCAGCGAAACCGCGAGGUCAAGCAAAUCCCAUAAAGUUGUUCUCAGUUCGGAUUGUAGUCUGCAACUCGACUACAUGAAGCUGGAAUCGCUAGUAAUCGUAGAUCAGCAUGCUACGGUGAAUACGUUCCCGGGUCUUGUACACACCGCCCGUCACACCACGAGAGUUUGUAACACCCGAAGGUGGGACAAAUGAUUGGGGUGAAGUCGUAACAAGGUAGCCGUAUCGGAAGGUGCGGCUG
This 1394-nucleotide ribosomal RNA is filed under the name Staphylococcus aureus. RNAcentral's name for it is "bacterial SSU rRNA". It matches the Rfam family "Bacterial small subunit ribosomal RNA". The record is from RNAcentral. Lineage: Bacteria; Bacillati; Bacillota; Bacilli; Caryophanales; Staphylococcaceae.